This 432-nucleotide ribosomal RNA is filed under the name uncultured bacterium. Its description in RNAcentral is "partial 16S ribosomal RNA". It matches the Rfam family "Bacterial small subunit ribosomal RNA", at positions 29 to 506 of the family's 1533-position model. The record is from RNAcentral.
AACGAACGCUGGCGGCAUGCCUAACACAUGCAAGUCGAACGAGACCUUCGGGUCUAUUGGCGCACGGGUGCGUAACGCGUGGUAACCUGCCCUUAGGUUCCGAAUCACUCCCCGAAGGGUGUCCUAAUACCGGAUAAUGUCUUCGGGCCUAAGAUUUCGGGCCUUGUGAUGGGCCCUCGUUGGUUUAGCUAGUUGGUAGGGUAAAAGCCUACCAAGGCGAAGAUCCAUAGUUGGUGUGAGAGGAUGCUCAGCCGCACUGGGAUUGGGACCAGGCCCAGACGGCUACGGGAAGUAGCAGUGGGGAAUAUUGGACAGUGGGCGAAAGCCUGAACCGGCACUGCCGGGUGAGUGAUGAAGGCGUUAGGGUUGUAAAGCUCUUGUAACCGGGAGUAUAAGGAGAGUAUCGGGAGAAUAAGCCCCGGCUACUUCCGG